RNAcentral lists this ribosomal RNA (423 nucleotides) under uncultured bacterium. RNAcentral describes it as "bacterial SSU rRNA". It matches the Rfam family "Bacterial small subunit ribosomal RNA", at positions 29 to 460 of the family's 1533-position model. The record is from RNAcentral.
AUUGAACGCUGGCGGCAUGCUUUACACAUGCAAGUCGAACGGUAACAGGCCUUCGGGUGCUGACGAGUGGCGAACGGGUGAGUAAUGCAUCGGAACGUGCCCAAUCGUGGGGGAUAACGUAGCGAAAGUUACGCUAAUACCGCAUAAGCCCUGAGGGGGAAAGUGGGGGACCGCAAGGCCUCACGCGAAUGGAGCGGCCGAUGUCAGAUUAGCUAGUUGGUGGGGUAAAGGCUCACCAAGGCGACGAUCUGUAGCGGGUCUGAGAGGAUGAUCCGCCACACUGGGACUGAGACACGGCCCAGACUCCUACGGGAGGCAGCAGUGGGGAAUAUUGCGCAAUGGGCGAAAGCUUGACGCAGCAACGCCGCGUGGGUGAGAAGGCCUGGUGUAAGACCUGUCAGGGGAGGAAGUAGGACGUCGUAA